Molecule: ribosomal RNA, 346 nt
Filed under: Holoparamecus integer
Lineage: Eukaryota; Metazoa; Arthropoda; Insecta; Coleoptera; Endomychidae
Description: partial 12S ribosomal RNA
Source: RNAcentral
AAAAAUGUAAAUAAUUAGUUAAAUUAGUGUAAGUUAUGAUCUUUAAAAUUAAAAAAUUUGGCGGUAUUUUAGUCUUUUCAGAGGAACCUGUUAUGUAAAUGAUACUCCACGAGAUAGUCUAUUUAAUUUAGAAGUUUGUAUAUCGUUGUUGUAGAAAAUUUUAAGAGAAAGUGAAUUUUCACAAAGUUUGAUUUAAGAAUAUUUCAAAUCAAGGUGCAGCUAAUAGUUAAGAAUAAAUGGGUUACAUUAAAUUUAGUUUGGGAUUAUUAAUUUGGAAAAUUAAAUGAAUUUGGAUUUGGAAGUAAUUUAAUUGUUUAAUUUAGAUGAUUUUAGCUCUAAAAUAUGC